RNAcentral lists this ribosomal RNA (205 nucleotides) under Florenciella parvula. RNAcentral describes it as "partial Bacterial large subunit ribosomal RNA". It matches the Rfam family "Bacterial large subunit ribosomal RNA", at positions 802 to 1005 of the family's 2925-position model. The record is from RNAcentral. Lineage: Eukaryota; Dictyochophyceae; Florenciellales.
GGAUGAGCUGUGGAUCGGAGUGAAAGGCUAAUCAAGCCCGGAGAUAGCUGGUUCUCCUCGAAAUCUAUUUAGGUAGAGCGUCGUGUCUUACCCUGGGGGGUAGAGCACUGUUUGGGCUAGGGGGUCAUCCCGACUUACCAACCCCAUGCAAACUCCGAAUACCCAGGAGUACAAUCACGGCAGACAGACAGCGGGUGCUAACGUC